CAUCCUCAAAGAGAUGGUCAUCUGGAAACUUUGAACUAGCAAGGCACGGUGCUACGGGAGCUCAUCGAUUUCUAUGACAGGACUACCACUUGGAGAAAGAUUUGCUGGAAAUCUCACUGCCACCAGUGACUGACUUCUCAGAGCAUCAUGCUGGAGAAGACAGCACCCUGCAUGAAAACUACACCACUAUAGAUGAAUAUCCUGAAUCUGGCUCCAGACAAACCCAUUUCAUGUGCUGACUGUACCAUGCACUAGUUAAGGGAGCUUAAAAAUUUACUGAG
This 281-nucleotide long non-coding RNA is filed under the name Rattus norvegicus (Norway rat). Its description in RNAcentral is "long non-coding RNA NONRATT032640". The record is from RNAcentral. Lineage: Eukaryota; Metazoa; Chordata; Mammalia; Rodentia; Muridae.